ACGGGAGGCAGCAGUGGGGAAUAUUGCACAAUGGGGGAAACCCUGAUGCAGCGACGCCGCGUGAGUGAAGAAGUAUUUCGGUAUGUAAAGCUCUAUCAGCAGGGAAGAUAAUGACGGUACCUGACUAAGAAGCCCCGGCUAACUACGUGCCAGCAGCCGCGGUAAUACGUAGGGGGCAAGCGUUAUCCGGAUUUACUGGGUGUAAAGGGAGCGUAGGUGGCGUGGCAAGUCAGAAGUGAAAGCCCGGGGCUCAACCCCGGGACUGCUUUUGAAACUGUCAUGCUGGAGUGCAGGAGAGGUAAGUGGAAUUCCUAGUGUAGCGGUGAAAUGCGUAGAUAUUAGGAAGAACACCAGUGGCGAAGGCGGUUAGCUGGACAAUAACUGACGCUGAGGCGCGAAAGCGUGGGUAGCAAACAGGAUUAGAUACCCUGGUA
This 434-nucleotide ribosomal RNA is filed under the name uncultured Clostridiales Family XIV bacterium. RNAcentral's name for it is "bacterial SSU rRNA". It matches the Rfam family "Bacterial small subunit ribosomal RNA", at positions 341 to 792 of the family's 1533-position model. The record is from RNAcentral. Lineage: Bacteria; Bacillati; Bacillota; Clostridia; Eubacteriales; Clostridiales Family XIV. Incertae Sedis.